CCCUUAGAUGUUCUGGGCCGCACGCGUGCUACACUGAGUGGAUCAGUGGGUCAGGUUACGCGAGAGCGUUUCCUAAUCUUCAAAUCCGCUCGUGAUGGGGAUUGACGGUUGCAAUUUUCCGUCAUGAACGAGGAAUACCUUGUAAGCGCGGGUCAUCAUCCCGCGCUGAAUACGUCCCUGCCCUUUGUACACACCGCCCGUCGCUCCUACCGAUUGAGUGGUCCGGUGAGGCUUUGGGAUCUAAGCGAAAAGAGCGUUUCGCUCCUUUUGCUGGGAGAACUCAGUCGAACCUUAUCAUUUAGAGGAAGGAGAAGUCGUAACA
This 322-nucleotide ribosomal RNA is filed under the name uncultured eukaryote. RNAcentral describes it as "partial 18S ribosomal RNA". It matches the Rfam family "Eukaryotic small subunit ribosomal RNA", at positions 1470 to 1796 of the family's 1831-position model. The record is from RNAcentral.